This 1614-nucleotide long non-coding RNA is filed under the name Heterocephalus glaber (naked mole-rat). Its description in RNAcentral is "lncRNA (ENSHGLG00100044866.1)". Lineage: Eukaryota; Metazoa; Chordata; Mammalia; Rodentia; Bathyergidae. The record is from RNAcentral.
CACCAAUAAUUUUUCUGCGAUUUUGGCCAGUGACAAGAGUUUCCUUUUUUAUUAACGAACAGAAAAGAAAAGAAUCAAGUGCUCUUCACUCUCUGAUUUAUAUCACUUCAGGAAGAAAGAAGCCUUUUUGUCUCUUUAUCAAGCCUACAGUCAUGGAAUGUGUAUAUGCUUUUUUUUUUUUUUUUGAGUACUGGGGAUUGAACUCAGGACCUUGCACCUCAGAACCACUGAGCUAAAUCCCCGGCCCAGUGUACAUGGUUUCUUCAGUUUCAGCCCUUGUGAUUGCCAUUCAACAGAAGUUGCUUAUACCAUGGUCAUCUUUCUUUGUAACCAAACCUUUUGCUUGUGAUUUUGCUCUCCUAAGUGUUAAUCAUUUGUGGCACCAACAACAGCACUAGUAGUUUCUUGCUUAUCCUGACACGUCACUGACUUCUUUCUUUUUUCUAGCUUUCAGUAUUUCUGGCAAUUCUUUCCUUUGCUACCCUUGGAAAUAAAACAUCUGACAUAGUCACAAGUCAUCAGCCAUGUCUAGAUGACCAUGAAUUCCAUGUACAUAACUGCUAGUAUAACAGAAAUAUGUCCAAUUAACACUGCUAGCAGAAGACUCUCCACUUGAAUGUCUCAAAACCUUAAUAUAAUAAGUAAGAAAUGGUCAAGUAGUACUUUUAAAUGACUUGACCUAAUAGUUACAUUCCCAAACUGGAGUUAAUUGCUUGCUUCAAAACUUCAUUUUCUCCAACUAGCUUACGAAUUACUGAUAGCUCUGGACCUUGAGUUUCUUGGUUUGUUGCAUUGAAAUCAUCUGUAGUGUUCCUUCCUUCUUCCAUCUUUCCAUUUCUCCAGGGAGUGAAAAAGCUUUUAGCUGAUCUUUGAUUUCUUCUUCUAUCUAACCAUGUUAUUCUUGGGGUGUAAUAAUGAAGUUUGCAUGCCCCCUUUUAUAAUCUGAUGUAGGCCCACAAGCAUUGAUGCUUUGCUAAUAUUGGUUUAUUUAUUAUGCCUUCUUUGGAAAAUCCUUUGUGAUUACUUGUUUGAAGUUAAAAAUACUGAUUGGAUACAAGAUUCUUUUUUUUUUUUUUCAGUUUUCAGCAUAUAUCUCCAACCUGCCCUCAGUCUAUAUUUGAGUUUAAUAAAUCACAGUUUAAUUUUACUAAGCUUAAUUUUCUGCUCUGUAAAUUGAGACUAAUAAUAUUAACAAUCUCAUAAGGUUGUGGUUAGGAUUAAUUUAAUACAUGCAAUCCUUAGAAUGAUGCCAGAGUUAUAUCAAACCCUUAUUCAGUGUUAAUUAUGUGGAAAAAAAUUCAUUAUCAUCUCAUGCUGAAGACAAAUUUUUUUUGUAGUUUUCUACUAUUUUUGCAAAAAACCCCCCCCCAAACAACACCCCCAAAUCAACAGCUUUUGAAGGGUUCAUGUUUAAUUCUGGGUCUGUAAAAAACUCUUGGUUGAUUUUUAGUUGUCUUGAUCCAAUUUUAUCCUCUGUAAUGAUAGUACUCUUUAAUGAUGAUUUUUUUAAAAAAACCCUAAAAACAUACAUAUUCUCUAGAAGGUAUUUAGUAUCAAGUAUUCUAAUAAAGAGUUGCUAUGAAGCAAAUCUUUUGCUAAAGGUGAUUCUCAAAC